Molecule: ribosomal RNA, 253 nt
Filed under: uncultured bacterium
Lineage: Bacteria
Description: partial 16S ribosomal RNA
Rfam family: Bacterial small subunit ribosomal RNA
Source: RNAcentral
UACGGAGGGGGCUAGCGUUGUUCGGAAUUACUGGGCGUAAAGCGCACGUAGGCGGCUUUGUAAGUUAGAGGUGAAAGCCCGGGGCUCAACUCCGGAAUUGCCUUUAAGACUGCAUCGCUAGAAUUGUGGAGAGGUAAGUGGAAUUCCGAGUGUAGAGGUGAAAUUCGUAGAUAUUCGGAAGAACACCAGUGGCGAAGGCGGCUUCCUGGACACUAACUGACGCUGAGACGCGAAAGCGUGGGGAGCAAACAGG